This 2703-nucleotide long non-coding RNA is filed under the name Triticum aestivum (bread wheat). RNAcentral describes it as "long non-coding RNA (TAES_LNC028566)". Lineage: Eukaryota; Viridiplantae; Streptophyta; Magnoliopsida; Poales; Poaceae. The record is from RNAcentral.
GCAAUAUGCGGCCAUCUGUAUGUAUAUAUUUUUCUCAAAAAAAUCCUGUGUGUAUAUACAACAUAGCAGUUUACAAAUCCUUCCAUGUAAUGAUAAUUUACAACACUACAUAUAUCACACAACAAGGUUAAGAAGCAGUACAAUCCAGUGUACAUCAACAAAACAUAUAAACUUUUGAAGCUGCUGUUGAGGUUCUUCGUCGAUUCUCCUGAUGGCAACUAUCAUGUCCUGGCGCAGAUUAUGAUGGGUAGCACUUUGUAGACCACUACCCAAUCAUACCUAGCAUAUUUAAAAGAACAUUAGAUUUUUGCAGAUUCAUAGAUAGCAGAGACAACAGUAUUACAACAAGUGUAAAAAAUGUAUUACAUGUCCACUUGGCCAGUAUUGAGAGUACUAUUACUUAUAACAGGGAAAAUAAUGAAAUGAAAAAAACCAGUAUAUUUGUACAGAAGGUGACAAGACCUACAAAUAUAAUUUAUUACAUGGCUUACAAAUUACUUCAUGGUUAUUAAGGUACAAGCUAAAUCAUAAAACAUGAACACCAACUGAACAUAAUACUAGUACUAAGUCACCUUAGUCUACCUAAUACCUUAGCAUAUUUACAACAAAAUUAGACAUUAGAUAGUAGAAAUAAGAGAUUAGAACAAACAUAAAAAUAAAUGACAUGCUUUCCAAAAUUCUUAAAACAUACCAUGGCUACAAAUGAGAAUAACAUUAUAUACUAUAAAACAAUAAUAAUUAUGUUGUUGCUUAACAUUAAUCCAAAUAGAAGUGUGUGAAAUGAAAGUCUAUUCAAGUUGACCUUUAAGUGACAACGUAACAGAAGAUAGAUUUCAAAACUCCUAUUACUCAGCAGCAGUUGAGGCCAUAUAAAUCCACGGGAAAAGGGCAUCACUAAUAAGCAAUAUCAAUGGGGCGUAGCCGCUGCUCGUCGACCCGGCCGGUGUAAACUUCAGAUGUUCAUGUGUCAACAAGUUCACUCAUGAAACUAAAUAUUUGUCAAGGAUCUGAAAAUAGCAACCAACACUUGCUUGACACGUAAACUUCAAUUGGCAUGAAAAAUACCUAACUCUGAACUAGAUCAACUAAAUAGGUGUAGUUCAGUGGUAGUUGAGCUGGGGAAUGGAAAUAAUGAAGAAAUCAUAGGAGUGGCAGUAGAGAACCAACCCCUGGUUGAUCACGGAGCAGCUCCAUCACGGCCAUCGUGGCAGCCCGCCCUCUCAAGCUCUAUUUUGCGCCAUGCAACAGUGCCACCAAGACCUGCAUCCUAAAAAACAUAGAUCAUAAUCAGGGAAAUUAGAAUGUUAAGUUAUCAAAAUAAAAAAGAGGGAAUAACAUCAACAAGAUUUAGAUAAAGCAGUAGACAACAAUCCCCACUUGUUGGGGGGACUAUUGCUGAGGGCGACCUAGAUAUGAAGGUAGGGAGCAGAGGAGUUGAAUAAGAAAUGUGUGUCAUUGUGUUGGCAAGUGCUAGCUCGGUGUGUCUCCUAGUUGAGAGUGAGCUAACACGUACGUUGUCUUGGUACAAGUACUAGUAAGUGCAGAACUAAUAGUAGUAGUAGUACUACUACUAUAAAUUGACUCACUAAUACAUGUGUUUAGUACACAAAUUGACAAGUUUAAACUAUGUAUUAUUACUGUAGGACUGCCACACUGUAAAUGUAAUUUUCUUCUUAGAUCCAUAUUAAACUAAUUCUGAUAUAUAUUCACCGAGCUGCAAGAGACAGUGAAAACAGAAAAAGAAAUGCCUAGGAGAAAACACUAAACAGAACAUGUCACGAUGUUAAUACAUUAACAGAAAUCAUGUCUCCAAGACCUAUUUGAUGAAAUUAUUGACCACACUUGAUUACAUUUAUUCAUACUGAAUUAUAUUUUGAUAGAAAAUAAACUGAAUGAAUACUGAACACUUGGUUAUAUUGAUUUAGAGAACAGAGAUACACCAAACUAUUGGAAAAAUCUAAACUGAAUUAGAUUUGGUAGAGAACUAACUGAAAUAGAUAUUGAUACAAGGUCGCAUCUGCAGCCGGUUGACGAACAUGUGCGGAUAUAUCUACUUGGUACCCUGCAGUGUACAAGAUGGAGAGAAAACUCAAUGUUAAAAGAUUCAGAGAGGAAGCACGACACACACAACAUACUGGCUGUUGCACGCACGCACAUCUCACUAGUAGACACGCCGGAGCCACCGAUUGCCGCUGCUGCCGCCAUGUCAUCACGCACACACAACGCACCCUACAAGUUGGAGAAGGCAAUAGCCAUGCUUAGGAAAUCGACUGUAGAGGGAGGCCACGCACCAGCCAUAGCCUUCCCAGCUUGCUAACGAAUGGCUGGUACAGCUACCAGUGUAGGCAAAUGAACCGGCGGUCGCAGCAGCAACACAAGGCCAUGGUAUCGAGGAAGCCAAAAAGAGGGAGGGGCAAGGGCAGCAUCACUAACUAGUCGCGACUAGGUGCGGCCUCCACUGAGCAAUUGUGGUAACCGGCCACCCGACGGUAGAUCCGGUCUGACAAGACCUGUGUCGGGGUUCAGCUUUGUCCCAGAUCUGCGCGCGCCGGAUCUAUAGCAGCAGCCCGAGGCCAUGGUAUUGAGGACGGGAGACAAUGGGGUAGAAAAAGACCGCAGCCGUGGAGGUGGGGUUGGUGGAGGAAGGAGAACCAGAGCGGUGGGGGUGCGGGGGCAGCGUAAAGGAGAGGAUCAGAGAGAAGG